This 292-nucleotide ribosomal RNA is filed under the name uncultured bacterium. Its description in RNAcentral is "partial 16S ribosomal RNA". It matches the Rfam family "Bacterial small subunit ribosomal RNA", at positions 505 to 796 of the family's 1533-position model. The record is from RNAcentral.
GUGUCAGCAGCCGCGGUAAUACAGAGGUCCCGAGCGUUGUUCGGAUUCACUGGGCGUAAAGGGUGCGUAGGUGGUGAGGUAAGUCGGAUGUGAAAUCUCCGGGCUCAACCCGGAAAAGGCAUUGGAAACUACCUUGCUUGAGGUUUUGAGGGGGGACUGGAAUUCUCGGUGUAGCAGUGAAAUGCGUAGAUAUCGAGAGGAACACCAGUGGCGAAGGCGAGUCCCUGGAAAACACCUGACACUGAGGCACGAAAGCUAGGGGAGCAAACAGGAUUAGAUACCCUAGUAGUCC